This 253-nucleotide ribosomal RNA is filed under the name uncultured bacterium. RNAcentral's name for it is "partial 16S ribosomal RNA". It matches the Rfam family "Bacterial small subunit ribosomal RNA", at positions 524 to 776 of the family's 1533-position model. The record is from RNAcentral.
UACGGAGAGUGCAAACGUUGUUCGGAUUUACUGGGCGUAAAGGGCACGUAGGCGGCUCGGCAAAUCGGUUGUGGAAUCUCGACGCUUACCGUCGAAACGGCAGCCGAAAAUACCGGGCUAGAGGGCGUGAGGGGUCACUGGAACUCCUGGUGAAGCGGUGAAAUGCGUAGAUAUCAGGAGGAACGCCGGAGGCGAAAGCGAGUGACUGGCGCGUUCCUGACGCUGAGGUGCGAAAGCUAGGGGAGCAAACAGG